Molecule: ribosomal RNA, 253 nt
Filed under: uncultured bacterium
Lineage: Bacteria
Description: partial 16S ribosomal RNA
Rfam family: Bacterial small subunit ribosomal RNA
Source: RNAcentral
UACGGAGGGGACUAGCGUUGUUCGGAAUUACUGGGCGUAAAGCGCACGUAGGCGGAUUUGUUAGUCAGGGGUGAAAUCCCGAGGCUCAACCUCGGAACUGCCUUUGAUACUGCAAAUCUCGAGUCCGGAAGAGGUGAGUGGAAUUCCUAGUGUAGAGGUGAAAUUCGUAGAUAUUAGGAAGAACACCAGUGGCGAAGGCGGCUCACUGGUCCGGUACUGACGCUGAGGUGCGAAAGCGUGGGGAGCGAACAGG